UAAUUCCUUGGAACAGGACGUCAUAGAGGGUGAGAAUCCCGUAUGGGACCGGCCGUCAAUCCCAUGUGAAACCCUUCGACGAGUCGAGUUGUUUGGGAAUGCAGCUCAAAAUGGGUGGUAAAUUCCAUCUAAAGCUAAAUACUGGCCAGAGACCGAUAGCGCACAAGUAGAGUGAUCGAAAGAUGAAAAGCACUUUGGAAAGAGAGUCAAAAAGUACGUGAAAUUGUUGAAAGGGAAGCGCUUGCGACCAGACCUGCCCCCGGGCGAUCCGCCGUUAUUCGUAGCGGUGCACUCGCCCGGGACCAGGCCAGCAUCGGUUCUGGGCGGCGGACAAAGCGCCCGGGAAUGUAGCUCCCUCCGGGGAGUCUUAUAGCCCCGGGCGUUCAUUGCCGCCCGCCCGGACCGAGGACCGCGCUUCGGCUAGGAUGCUGGCGUAAUGGUCGUAAGCGACCCGUCUUGAAACACGGACCAAGGAGUCUAACMUCCAUGCGAGUGUUUGGUGUCAAACCCACGCGCGGAAUGAAAGUGAACGGAGGUGGGACCCCUUCAGGGCGCACCAUCGACCGAUCCWGAWGUUUCGGAUGGAUUUGAGUAMGAGCAURGCUGUUGGGACCCGAAAGAUGGUGAACUAUGCSUGAAUAGGGUGAAGCCAGAGGAAACUCUGUGGAGGCUCGCAGCGGUUCUGACGUGCAAAUCGAUCGUCAAAUUUGNGYAUAGGGGCGAAAGACCAAUCGAACCAU
RNAcentral lists this ribosomal RNA (740 nucleotides) under Degelia durietzii. RNAcentral's name for it is "LSU rRNA". It matches the Rfam family "Eukaryotic large subunit ribosomal RNA", at positions 183 to 943 of the family's 3401-position model. The record is from RNAcentral. Lineage: Eukaryota; Fungi; Ascomycota; Lecanoromycetes; Peltigerales; Pannariaceae.